AACGAACGCUGGCGGCAUGCCUAACACAUGCAAGUCGAACGAGACCUUCGGGUCUAGUGGCGCACGGGUGCGUAACGCGUGGGAAUCUGCCCUUGGGUUCGGAAUAACAGUUGGAAACGACUGCUAAUACCGGAUGAUGACGUAAGUCCAAAGAUUUAUCGCCCAAGGAUGAGCCCGCGUAGGAUUAGCUAGUUGGUGAGGUAAAGGCUCACCAAGGCUACGAUCCUUAGCUGGUCUGAGAGGAUGAUCAGCCACACUGGGACUGGGACACGGCCCAGACUCCUACGGGAGGCAGCAGUGGGGAAUAUUGGACAAUGGGCGAAAGCCUGAUCCAGCAAGGCCGCGUGAGUGAUGAAGGCCUUAGGGUUGUAAAGCUCUUUUACCCGGGAUGAUAAUGACAGUACCGGGAGAAUAAGCGCCGGCUAACUCCGUG
This 433-nucleotide ribosomal RNA is filed under the name uncultured bacterium. Its description in RNAcentral is "partial 16S ribosomal RNA". It matches the Rfam family "Bacterial small subunit ribosomal RNA", at positions 29 to 507 of the family's 1533-position model. The record is from RNAcentral.